This 463-nucleotide ribosomal RNA is filed under the name uncultured Streptococcus sp. Its description in RNAcentral is "bacterial SSU rRNA". It matches the Rfam family "Bacterial small subunit ribosomal RNA", at positions 917 to 1382 of the family's 1533-position model. Lineage: Bacteria; Bacillati; Bacillota; Bacilli; Lactobacillales; Streptococcaceae. The record is from RNAcentral.
GGGGCCGCACAAGCGGUGGAGCAUGUGGUUAAUUCGAAGCAACGCGAAGAACCUUACCAGGUCUUGACAUCCCGAUGCUAUUUCUAGAGAUAGAAAGUUACUUCGGUACAUCGGUGACAGGUGGUGCAUGGUUGUCGUCAGCUCGUGUCGUGAGAUGUUGGGUUAAGUCCCGCAACGAGCGCAACCCCUAUUGUUAGUUGCCAUCAUUCAGUUGGGCACUCUAGCGAGACUGCCGGUAAUAAACCGGAGGAAGGUGGGGAUGACGUCAAAUCAUCAUGCCCCUUAUGACCUGGGCUACACACGUGCUACAAUGGUUGGUACAACGAGUUGCGAGUCGGUGACGGCGAGCUAAUCUCUUAAAGCCAAUCUCAGUUCGGAUUGUAGGCUGCAACUCGCCUACAUGAAGUCGGAAUCGCUAGUAAUCGCGGAUCAGCACGCCGCGGUGAAUACGUUCCCGGGCCUU